CAAUUUGAAAUCUGGCGGCAUCCUGUCGUCCGAGUUGUAAUCUAUAGAAGUGUUUUCCGCGUCGGACCAUGUACAAGUCCCUUGGAACAGGGCGUCAUAGAGGGUGAGAAUCCCGUCCUUGACAUGAUCUCCGGUGCUAUGUGAUACACUUUCAACGAGUCGAGUUGUUUGGGAAUGCAGCUCAAAAUGGGUGGUGAAUUCCAUCUAAAGCUAAAUAUUGGCGAGAGACCGAUAGCGAACAAGUACCGUGAGGGAAAGAUGAAAAGCACUUUGGAAAGAGAGUUAAACAGUACGUGAAAUUGUUGAAAGGGAAACGAUUGAAGUCAGUCAUGCUCUUUGGGUUAAGCCUUUCGGGGUGUAUUCCAUUGAGUGGGGUCAACAUCAGUUUUGACCGCUGGAAAAAGGCACGAGGAAGGUAGCACUCUCGGGUGAACUUAUAGCCUCGCGUCAUAUACAGUGGUUGGGACUGAGGAACGCAGCAUGCCUUAUGGCCGGGAUUCGUCCACGUACAUGCUUAGGAUGUUGACAUAAUGGCUUUAAACGACCCGUCUUG
This 553-nucleotide ribosomal RNA is filed under the name Naganishia cf. antarctica DBVPG 5900. RNAcentral's name for it is "eukaryotic LSU rRNA". It matches the Rfam family "Eukaryotic large subunit ribosomal RNA", at positions 110 to 656 of the family's 3401-position model. The record is from RNAcentral. Lineage: Eukaryota; Fungi; Basidiomycota; Tremellomycetes; Filobasidiales; Filobasidiaceae.